RNAcentral lists this ribosomal RNA (468 nucleotides) under uncultured bacterium. RNAcentral's name for it is "partial 16S ribosomal RNA". It matches the Rfam family "Bacterial small subunit ribosomal RNA", at positions 28 to 507 of the family's 1533-position model. The record is from RNAcentral.
GACGAACGCUGGCGGCGUGCCUAACACAUGCAAGUCGAACGGAAAGGCCCUGCUUUUGUGGGGUGCUCGAGUGGCGAACGGGUGAGUAACACGUGUGUAACCUGCCCUUGACUUUGGGAUAACUUCAGGAAACUGGGGCUAAUACCGGAUAGGAUCUCCCGCUGCGUGGUGGGCGUUGGAAAGUUUCGGCGGUUGGGGAUGGACUAGCGGCUUAUCCGCUUGUUGGUGGGGUAGUGGCUUACCAAGGCUUUGACGGGUAGCCGGCCUGAGAGGGUGACCGGCGUCAUUAGGACUAAGGUACGGCGCAGACUGCAACGGGCGGCAGCGGGGGGAAAUAUUGCACAGUGAGACCAAGCGUGAUGCGGCGGCGCCGCGUGCGGAAUGACGGCCUUUGGGGUGUAAACCGCUUUCGCCUGUGACGAAGCGGGAGUGACGGUAAUGAGUAAAGAAGCACCGGCUAACUACGUG